GCCGAUGAUAGCCGAGUGUAACCGGUACCGAGUGUAGCCGACAUUGGCCGCAUUUAGGCAAAGAGCCGAAUAUGACCGACUUUAGCCCAACCGGGCCGAAGUUCUGCCGAAGAGCCGGAAAAGCCGAAUUUAGACGAAAAGCCGAACCGAAACGAUUUUAGACCUAAGCCGAACCAAGCCUAAUUUAGCCGAGUUUAUUUAAACAGAACCGAACGACGCCGCAGCGCUCUGCCUGCACAGCGCCGGUGCAGACGGCAGGGGGCGGUGUAUAAAGGUGCUCAGAAAGCAUGCGUCCCUUAGAGUCCCACGGAAAGGUUCUCAGUGCGCUCUCUAUCAAGUGCUAUGAGUCUUGAUAAAUUGGAGAAGAGCCCAAGAGAAAUUUUUCAUCCCUUGAUAUAAAAGGGAUCGGUGAAUUUUAACUUUGGAGUCCUCUGUGCUAAGGAUGCUCAGCUUACCGAUGAUGAAAUGUUCAGUAAUGUAUUUGCUGCAGCUCUGCUUACCCAAGCUUUGGGUUCCUUCUGUCCCACUGGGAGUGGCCCAAUUUGGUUGCAUCUGGUGAAAUUCACCCUGAGACCUUACAGAACCAGCUCCAACUACGUGAGAGCCAUUUGCAGUUCUCUCCAGACACCUGGAGAAUGGGCGACGUUUCUGAGGAUCCGGCGAGCGUGCUUCUAUCAAAACUCAGUCUGUGAAAUUCCUGGGGAAAACCCUUCUGUGUCCUGAAGGGUUCAAACUCUGGUGAGGAUCCAGUUAUCAGGUGCUCACCUGGAUGGUUCCAGCUCCCAAAGGGAAAGACUCUCGUAUCCUUGUCGUCGGUCUCGGUGCUGUCCAAGAAGAUACAGAGACUAAAAAAAUCAUAAGAAGCAAAAUAUGACUGCAGGGAAAAGAAGCUGGAGAGAACAGAAGAGCCCAGAACACGAUUUCCUCGGGCUGCCAUUUGUGUGCCAUCGGUACUCACCACGGAAGGGAGCUGGGGAUUGUUGCAGCUGUUGGGAACAAACCGCUUCUCGUCACACAGAAAUGGAAUUGGGACGACGCCUCGGCCAGCCCCUCUCUGCCAUCGUCUCCUGAAUCUGCAGCAGAGCAGUUCCAGUCCAUCCGGGCACGUGUAAUCCAGUUCCUGAUGAUCUGAGCACACGGAGCAGCGCUCAGCUGCUGUGGGGGCUCACGGAAGGCAGAGUGUGCAUUGUCAUCUUCCUGAACCUACAGACGAAUCAAAGUGAGAAGCAACAGCGUGGAAAUCAGUCGCAUAUAUGCUAAAUAAAAC
Molecule: long non-coding RNA, 1267 nt
Organism: Melospiza georgiana
Lineage: Eukaryota; Metazoa; Chordata; Aves; Passeriformes; Passerellidae
Exons: 7
Source: RefSeq, a predicted model, not a curated record